Long non-coding RNA from Cygnus olor (mute swan), 1411 nucleotides. RefSeq lists it as uncharacterized. NCBI's taxonomy places the organism in Eukaryota, Metazoa, Chordata, Aves, Anseriformes, Anatidae. The transcript is spliced from 3 exons. The record is from RefSeq and is a predicted model, not a curated record.
UGGCCAGAGCCACAGGGUGCUGCCACCACCCUGCGCCUGCCCCAUGGGCGUACGCAAGUGCUCACGGGGUGAUUAGGUAAGGUGUGUGUGAGCACUGCACGCACAUCUCUCUGGCGGCUGUGUAGGAAUUUUCUCUGUCCCAGCACUGGAAAUUUGCCCCUCCUGGUUUCCCCCGCUCUCCCCUAUAUGCUUGCAGAGAAGCCCCAGGAGCAGUGCCUGCAUGGAGGAGGACUCCACCACCGAGUCACAGCCACUGCAGACGCGAUGCCACGGUGCUGCGGGACAGCCGGAGCCACCGCUCUGCUAGGUGCUGGCUGGCCGCAGCACAUGUGACUUGCAAGUAACAGAAUGGCUGAAACAUGCUGCAUGUGUCAUACGUCGGAAGGAAGGGCCGAGGUAGAAUGUCUUGAAGAGCUAAUAACUAUUUGUGUAUCACCGAUAGAUCCAGCACAUGCCAAGCUGCAGGAGUCACUGAAAAGGAAGGGGAGCAGUCAUUGUUAUUUACUCUGAGCCAAGCACAAUGGUAUUUGGACACACUUCCUAUGUUAACGAACUCAAACCAUUUCCAAGUUUAUGGAGCAAAUCCUUUACAACAGCCUGUGGUAUAAAAACAACACAAAAAAUCCAAACCAAGUCCCAGAAACACAGUACCAUGCCUAAUUAUAACCCUGUUUCUCUCAUUGUACAUCACGCAAACCUAAAGUGACCAGUUUAAGGGGGUCAGAGGGUCACUGCUCACAUAAUUUUACACAUACCCAUACGGAGCCCCAAGUUCUCCUUCACCACAUUUUUUUUCUGCGUCAUUAUCUCCCAGAGAUGUACAAAAUACACCCAGUAGCUUUCCAGGCAAGUCGAAAUGAGAUUACAGGCAAUGGACAGAUGCGGGCAUCCUGUGUUCUGUUAAUUUUCCACUCUGCAGCAACACAGCCUUAUUUAUUUUUUUGUCAAGGAUAAAAAAGAGACAUUUGGCCUCCUCCUACAGUCAGGAAGGGAGAAUGGUUAUAGCAAGUGCCUUACCACCAUGAGCUACUACUUGUAAUUUCACCGCCACCUGGCAUUUGUGAAGCUGCUUGUGAGUUGCGCCGGGUACCUCACAGGAAAACCCUCUGCAGCCCCGCGCGCCCUUUGGAGCUGCUCGAGGCCAGCGGCAAGGACCAAAAGCACCGCAUCGCGGAAGGCAUCCACUGUUGGAGAGCUCCCGCUGAUGGUAAAGGCAAACUCACAGAGGAGCCGGGAUGUGGAUCCCAUUGCAUCCAGCGUUAAGGGGCUUUGGGCUCCAAGUGGCUCCACUCGAACCCAGCCAGGAUUUGCCUCCUUGAAGGCUCCGGCAUGCUCUGUUCAAAGAUUUUCAUGAAAAUAGGAAUAAACACUGAUGCAGGCCUGGAAUGUUUGUUCUGGGUUACAAGCAGGA